Molecule: ribosomal RNA, 449 nt
Filed under: uncultured bacterium
Lineage: Bacteria
Description: partial 16S ribosomal RNA
Rfam family: Bacterial small subunit ribosomal RNA
Source: RNAcentral
AGCGAACGCUGGCGGCAGGCCUAACACCUGCAAGUCGAACGGAUCCUUCGGGAUUAGUGGCGGACGGGUGAGUAACACGUGGGAACGUGCCCUUUGGUUCGGAACAACUCAGGGAAACUUGAGCUAAUACCGGAUGUGCCCUUCGGGGGAAAGAUUUAUCGCCAUUGGAGCGGCCCGCGUCUGAUCAGCUAGUUGGUGAGGUAAAGGCUCACCAAGGCGACGAUCAGUAGCUGGUCUGAGAGGAUGAUCAGCCACAUUGGGACUGAGACACGGCCCAAACUCCUACGGGAGGCAGCAGUGGGGAAUCUUGCGCAAUGGGCGAAAGCCUGACGCAGCCAUGCCGCGUGAAUGAUGAAGGUCUUAGGAUUGUAAAAUUCUUUCACCGGGGACGAUAAUGACGGUACCCGGAGAAGAAGCCCCGGCUAACUUCGUGCCAGCCGCCGCGGUAA